UAAUGAAGAUACAAAAAGAGCCGAGCAGCAACUCGACUCUAAUGUAGACCGUUGAAAAGACGGUGGCAGUUAUUAGUGUAUUAAUAA
Molecule: small RNA, 87 nt
Filed under: Granulicatella elegans ATCC 700633
Lineage: Bacteria; Bacillati; Bacillota; Bacilli; Lactobacillales; Carnobacteriaceae
Description: RNA anti-toxin A
Rfam family: RNA anti-toxin A
Source: Rfam by way of RNAcentral